This 253-nucleotide ribosomal RNA is filed under the name uncultured bacterium. Its description in RNAcentral is "partial 16S ribosomal RNA". It matches the Rfam family "Bacterial small subunit ribosomal RNA", at positions 524 to 776 of the family's 1533-position model. The record is from RNAcentral.
UACGAAGGGGGCUAGCGUUGCUCGGAAUUACUGGGCGUAAAGGGAGCGUAGGCGGACAGUUUAGUCAGAGGUGAAAGCCCAGGGCUCAACCUUGGAAUUGCCUUUGAUACUGGCUGUCUUGAGUGCGGGAGAGGUGUGUGGAACUCCGAGUGUAGAGGUGAAAUUCGUAGAUAUUCGGAAGAACACCAGUGGCGAAGGCGACACACUGGCCCGUUACUGACGCUGAGGCUCGAAAGCGUGGGGAGCGAACAGG